Molecule: long non-coding RNA, 249 nt
Organism: Lingula anatina
Lineage: Eukaryota; Metazoa; Brachiopoda; Lingulata; Lingulida; Lingulidae
Source: RefSeq, a predicted model, not a curated record
CUGUUCAAGGCAACCAUAUCAUGAUCGGUUUGGCGUUUUCUCUGACUGGAACCUUUUACACGUGCUCGGUACUAUUGUUUGGUUUCAUAACAGACAAAUACAAUCAGUGUAAGGUAAUAAUAAUCUUGGGACUCAUCGUCAUGGCCGUAGCCUUAACUCUCAUUGGACCCUGGGCACCCUUCACUCACCUAUUCCCAAACGGCAAGGGAGCAUCAUGGGGAGUUUACUUGGGGCAAUGUUUAAAUGGAG